CCGAAGCCUGUGGCCGUUUGGUCCCUAGGCAAUGUGGUGUUCAGGUUGGCUCGCGGGGAUACUGCUCCAUCCUAAGUCCUAUAAUGAGUAAGGUUACUCGGACAUGGCCCAUUGAGGGUGAAAGGCCCGUGGGGGUGGAGAGUCAGACUGGCCAGUAUCUCCCUGAGCAGACCUUGGAGUCGGGUUGUUUGUGAAUGCAGCCCAAAGUGGGUGGUAAACUCCAUCCAAGGCUAAAUACUAGCACGAGUCCGAUAGCGAACAAGUACCGUGAGGGAAAGUUGAAAAGUACUUUGAAGAGAGAGUAAACAGUGCGUGAAACCGUUCAGAGGUAAACGGGUGGAGUUGAACUGCAAGCUCUGAGGAUUCAACUGGUGAGAUUGGCGUGAGCUUGGUCACGUGAGUGGUAUUGCCGUGUCUGCUUAGCUGCAGGUCCUCGCUUCGGUGGGGAUGCGCGUCUAGCUUAUCAAGCUUUGCGCGCACGGGAACUUUUCGAACUCGCUUGCCAGUGCACUUUCUCAGAGUGUUCACCACGACCGGCGUUGUCGUCUGGCUGGUGCGGUUAAACCGGUCUUGUAGGGUCCUUGUGGCCUUGCUUGGUCGGGAUGGCAGGUAGCCCGUUGUGUAUUUCUAUAUGCUUCGGGUGUAAUAGCCGACUGCAUCGGUUCUGUGCGGUACGUCGGAGACGGCGGCUUGUUGUGCGU
This is a ribosomal RNA of 701 nucleotides. It matches the Rfam family "Eukaryotic large subunit ribosomal RNA", at positions 114 to 614 of the family's 3401-position model.